UUGGGACUGACAUUGUGGUGCAGUAGGUUAGGACAGUGCUUGCAAUGCUGGCAUCCUAUAUUGGCAUGCCAUUUGGAGUCCUGGCUACUCUGCUUCUGAUCCACAUUCCUGUGAGUGUGUUUGGGAAAGCAGUGGAACAUGGCCCAAGAACUUGGAUCCCUACCAGCCAUAUAGGAGACCCAGAUAGAAUGGCCUGGUCCUGACUCCUGGCCCCAUCCUGGCUGUUGCAGACACUUGGGGAGUGAGCCACAAGAACGAAGAUCCAUCUAUCUCUUUGUCAGUCUCUCCUGCCUCUCUCCUUAUUUCCCUUUCAAAUAAAUCUUUAAAAAAGAAAAAGAUUAACCUCAUUUCAUAAUCCUUGUGAUGGAAUCUUAAUUACCCAAUCUCCUUUCUAUUCAUCUCUCCCUUUAUACUACAGGGACUAUUUAUUCCCAUUCAUCCAGUACAAAUUACUUACUAGAAUUGCUGUCAUGACUUGGUGCUCAAAAACAUGAACUGCAAUCAUCAUAUGAUAUCUAUACUUAAGAAACAGAUAAAGAAGUUGCUUAAGGUGUAAUUGUAGAUACCACUACAUGUUUCAGGGGCCAAAGAAAAUGAAUACAACACCAAUGUUGGUGUCAUUUGAAGACCUGGCUGUGGACAUCACUCAGGAGCAGUGACAGUACCUGGACAGUUCUCAGAGGACCCUGUACAAAGAUACGAUGAUGGAGACCUACAAUAGCCUGUUGUUUUUGGGGUACUGCAAAAGCAAACCUGAGGUGAUCUUCAAGUUGGAACAGGGGACAGAGCCAUGGACAGUGACAAAUUCCCCUAAAUUGGAGCCUGUCAGGUCAGUCAGCACACAUGGGACAGGGAGACUGGGAUGGAAAAGAUCUCAAGGAAUGUUGACUGGGUAGAGCAUUUCUCAUUAUUUAUCCCAAGUCUCAGUCCUGAGAACAGCUGAUAUGAUGCAUCAUCUGCUUGUUGUUUUGCUCUGGGUGAAUACUUUGUCAGAACUACCAACAAUGCAAUCAAUUUAUUUUUAAAAUUUUAUUUAUUUAUUUGAGAGGUAGAGUUACAGACAGACAGAGGGAGAGAUAGAAAGGUCUUGCAUUCACUGGUUCACUCCUCAGAUGGCUGCAAUGGCCAGAGCUGAGCUGAUAUGAAACCAGGAGCCAGAAAUUUCCUCUGGGUCUCCAAGAUGGAGAGCACUUGGGCCAUCUUCCACCACUUUCCCAGGCCAUUAGCAGAGAGCCGAUUUGAAGAGGAGCACCUGGAACAUGAACUAGUACCCAUAUGGGUUGUCGAUGCUGCAGGCAGAAUUUUAGCUUACUGUGCCACAGUGCUAGCCCCAUUGCAAUCAAUUUCUGCCUGU
This is a non-coding RNA of Oryctolagus cuniculus (rabbit), 1354 nucleotides long. Lineage: Eukaryota; Metazoa; Chordata; Mammalia; Lagomorpha; Leporidae. The record is from RefSeq and is a predicted model, not a curated record.